GGUUGCUCUCUCUGGGCUGCAAAGACACGAAGCAGCAAUGCUAUAUAAGGCUUGAACCAGGACAGCACUCCAUAAAUAUCGGCCUUCAGAAACUGGGAGUCAAGUCUCCAAUAUGUUUGUGUACAACACUGACUAUUAGCACAGUAGGAAGGAGAAAGAAGAAUCCCCAGCAUUAAGUAGAGCUACCACCUACUUGUGCCUGAUGUCCACUCCUCGCCCUGACGAGUCACCUGGUAGGUUCCGGACCCGAUCUGCGUCGUGAGACCUUGAGGCUCCAGAUGCAAGCUGCAAGAAAUGCUAGAGACUUUUUAAGUCCUCCAGACCCCUUAUCUGGGACCCGUCUUGGGGAAGGAGUAAGCAUUUUUUAUCACAAUCAGUAUAGUUACAGUGUCACCUUCACCUGUUUACCUUGCUUACCUGUGUGGGGAGUCCUUUAUAGCAUACCCUGUUUACU
Molecule: long non-coding RNA, 454 nt
Organism: Trachemys scripta elegans
Lineage: Eukaryota; Metazoa; Chordata; Testudines; Emydidae
Exons: 3
Source: RefSeq, a predicted model, not a curated record